Passer domesticus (house sparrow) is the source of this 1210-nucleotide long non-coding RNA. RefSeq lists it as uncharacterized. The transcript has 2 exons. The record is from RefSeq and is a predicted model, not a curated record. NCBI's taxonomy places the organism in Eukaryota, Metazoa, Chordata, Aves, Passeriformes, Passeridae.
AAGAAAGACUGAAAAAGAGGCAGAAGAUGUCAAGGCUAGAUGGCACAAAGAAUGAACUACCACAUUUUCAACAGGCGAUGUUCAGUUUUUGAACUAGCUUCCAAAAAAUCUAGUGGUUUUUUGGUUUUUUUUGAAGACUCAAAAAUCAGAUGAGAUUCUUUUCCUGAAAAAAUUGUAAGACAAGCAUGAGUCUAAACAUCCAAUAUUGACGUACUUGGAAGCCAAAGCUGAAGACAGAACUGAGGUCUAAAGUGACCACCUCUGGUUUGUAAAUCUGCAAUGUGUUCACUAACUAAUGGAGGUUAAUUUAUUGUGUUGAUAAGCAGUAGCUGGGGACAGCCAUAGGCAUUUUUUUCUCCAUAUUUUCUUCUCUGAUCAAACCUGCAGAGCUUUCUAGAGUUAUGACCACAGGAAGUCCUGGCCUUUUUCUUGAAAGAAUUGCACAGCAAUCCUACCAAUAAUGUGAUAUAACUUACUGUGUGUAUACAUAGAUUCGGAAAUACAUAUAUGCACUUACAGGUACAUGUGUACACAAAUACACCUAGAAGCAUAAAAGGAUGAAGCAAAGGUUAUGUAGAAACUUCAUAAUCUCUGAAAACCUCUCUGUCAGUAAGAUGUCAGCUCCUUUUUUUGUUUAAAAAAAUCCAAACCUUCUUUUGCCAAGUAGUCAUAAUCACUGCUAACUGGGUCAUAAAUUCCACUCUGCUUGUUGCUGCUUCUUAGCUCAUCACUAAAAAUGGCCCAAGCAGAUGAGUACUGCUCUCUGCAAAAUGCAAAUUUGAAACCUACACUGCUGGCUAUAGCUCAGUGUUAGGAACUCUAAAGCUGUUCAUGCUUUCAGCACAUAGAAAAACAUCAGCCAUGCCAAGGACGAUCAAAUUCGGAUUUACUGAUUGGAAACUGGAACAACAUGGGACAACCCUCCUCACAUGACAAGUUUAUUAGUCUUCCAAACAUCAGAGGCAGGCCUGCAUAUUAGUUGACUAAACACUAAAGGAGCAAAAAGGUCCAGAUAGCUGGAAAAUAUUUAUGAAGGAAAUUUUAAUUUAUGUUUUGUACAUUGGUGAUGAUUAUAGAGGAAAGAUGGAUGAUGGAGCCCUGUUUUCCUAGAGCCUGCUAAGGGGAAGUGGUGAAUGAAUACUUUGGUUUUCUUAGCUUGUCUGUGCAGACUUUGCUUUACUGAUUAAACUAUUUUUAUCACAACACAUGA